AGGAGGAAGAGGAGGAGGAGGAGGAGGAGGGGGGAGCUAGGAAGGAGUCUGGGAAGCACAACAUGAGGCAGAUGGUAAGCAGUGUGCAUGAUAUAGUCUCCAUCAUGACUGGCUGGUGCUUCGGGACGGGGUUUUAAGGGGCCUGUAGCUCCCUUCUGCCCCUUCCCUACUGCUCCAGGGCGCGAGGAAGGGACGAAGGGAACCAGGGGGAAAGUGCCCGUGUCGUGUCGUGUGUGGUGUGCGAUAUCGUUGUGCUUUUGUGAUGGUUGUUCGUGUUGGUGGUAGUGUUGGUGGCGAUGGUGGUGGUGGUAGUGACGUCAUGAUUUAAAAAGCCUUCUUUCUCGCCAGGACUGAGUGAAGUGGUGGUGGUGGUGGUGGUGGUGGUGUUGUUCAUGGUGGUGGUGGUGUUUGGUUUGUGUUGUGGUGUUGUGGUGGUGUUUUUGUGUGUAGGUAAGAAAGAGUGCAUGAUUGAUAAUUGCACAUACACACGCACACGCACACGCACACGUACACGCAUACACACACACACACACACACACACACACACGCGCGGGAGAACAAGUUACAGAGAAAUUAUACAGAAAGAAAACAAAGGAAAAUAGAAAAAAGAGGAAAAUAAAAGUGGAUAGUGAUUAAUGAACAAUAAAUGUAAACAAACAAUAAUCGUGCUAGGAAAUUACGAAAACAAACACAGUGAAUGGAAAAAAAUAAAUAAUAAUAAUAAUAAUAAUAAUACGAAAGAAAAUGAAUAUAUACGAAACACACACACACAAAAAAAAAAAGAAAAACAAAGAGUGUAGUGAAUAAAAGUGAAUCACAAAUAAAAAAUAACAAAAAAAAAAACACGAGAAAAACAAAACAAAACAAGUGUUACAUAAAAUAAUCCUUUUAAUCCUGAAAAAAAAUAAAGAAAAUAUACAAACAAUUAAAAAAAAAGAAAAAAAUUAAAAGAAAAAUCACUUACUCACUUACUCACUCACUUACUCACUCACUCACUCACUCACUUACUUACUUUUCACUACUUUACUUCAACGAGGCCAGCUGAAGGUAGAAACAAACUUAUUUACUUAAGAAGAAUGAGUCAGUCACCGGAUGAGUCACUCCUGAGUAAAUGAGUCGCCUUCUCUCACUCCCACACCUACAGACUGACUCACUCUCACUCCUGAAGGCUGGGAGAGAGGGAGAGGGAGAGAGGGAGAGAGAGAGAGGGAGUGGUGAGUGAAGCAUGAGUCAUCAACAGGUCUAGUACAAGAUGGCAGGCUUUAGCGGAAGUGACUGAGCUUUGGGUGGUGUUUCCAUGGUCCUCGUAAUAGUGUAAAAGGGAUUUGUAAUAUUUCUAUCUUCAAUGAUGCUCUGUUAUUGGAAUGGCAGUUUAAGAGGAGGUAAUGGCCGGUAUCGAGAUUUUCAAAGGUGUUCCCACGAGUGUAGUGAUCUGGUAAGGAUUCUGUGUCUUCUGUAUCCACUAACACCCGCGGGAACUCGAGUAAAUUAUCUGUGUACUUUGAAAAUAAUAUCUAAGAAAAGGUAAGUUUAAGAGCACGAUUUAGUACUAUAAAUUAAAAGAAGUAUUAGACUAAGUAGAAAAUUGUAAUUCCGUGCAGAAAAGUUCCUCAGCACUGGUAACAUUGCAAGGGAAAUGUUAUAAUGGUUUAGAAAUAAGUAAAGAAUUAAAAGAAUAACUCAUGUAACAAUCUAAGUACAUGCAAACUAUGAGGCAAUAAAGUGAGUACAUAUGUAAGUAAAUAUCUUAGAGAAAAAAAAAAUGUAUCACAGAAAAAAACAAUGUAUUACUCUGCUCAGGGAUCGAAUAUCUAGUAGUACAAUAUUUAUUACUCUGGAAAGUGGAAGAAUAUUUUGUAAGAUGAUUAUAAAUGCUAAGGAGAAGUACAAUAUUAAUUUAUUACUCUAGAAAGUGGAGGAAUUUUAUGUAAGAUGGUUAUAAAUGUAUUACUAAAAUGGUCAUUACUCUAGAAAGUGGAGAACUGUAUUACAUGUAUUAUAAAUGUACUACACAGGAAAUCUAAGAAAUAUCAAGCCUAAGGAAAAUUAUAUUAGAAACUGACAGAAUACUAGUCUUGUAAAAUUUUAAAUAGGCAUCAAAAAGAAAAUGUAAUACCUGUAAUGUUUGUGUUCCAGUAUAUUAGAGAAAUGUUAUGCCCGUUUUGAAUAAUUUCCGAAAAUAGAAAACUGCCAAACGAAAAAAAAAUGUAAUAAUUUGGGUAAAUAAAUCAGAUAUUAUAAUAGAUCAGAAUAAGUAUUAAGAAAACAAAGAAAAUGCAUAUGUAUGUCUUGUCCACAGAAAAAAAAAAGAUUAUUACAUUUCAUUAUAUUUAAGGAAGAGGGAAAAAUAUAUAUAUACUUUAUUAUAUUACAGGAAUAAAAUGUCUUGAAUGAAAUCAGUAAAUGUCUGGAGAAAAUGUAAAUUGUAGAAAAUGUAAAUUGUAAAGAAAUGAAAAAAAAUAAAGUAAAAUAGAAGAAAACUUGUUAUAUUCAAGUAGCCCACAUAUCUAAGCACCAUGGGAGAGAAAGGGGGGGGAGUGGGAGGGGGGGGGCAAAUCAACCUACAAUAAAUCAAUAAAACAGACAAAACUAUACUGCAAACUGACGGAAUGCUUGUCAGAAACAUGAACGCAUUAUUAUCAACAUUGUAAGUGGAAUGAGGGAAAUUUUUAGCAAAGGUUCAAGAAUCAGACAACAUUUCCCAUUAAGAUUAUGAAAAUUAGAGCAUAUUCUUGUAUUCCCUUGAUUAGUGUAUAGUUUAUGGUCUACAUGUGUUUUGCCUCGUUGUGUGUGGCGAGACUGUGUGUCGUGAAGUGUGUGGCAUUGGUUGCGCCGCCAGGAGGGUUGUGUGUGCUUCCAAGUGGCAGUGAAGCACACCUGAGAGAGUAAGACUGAAGUGAAUGAAGUGAAAGUGAAGUGAAGUGGUGUGGUGAGGGAAGCAAAGUUUGUGAGAAAAUUUAAGUGGCUGAAAUAAAAGUAAGUGAAGCCGAACAAGAAAAAUGUUUGGCAGUAAAGUGAGUGAUGGCAAUUAAGUAGAUUUAAAUCACUAAAUAUAAGUAAUCAUUUAUAGUACUACAAGAUUUUGGUAUUAUUGUAAGCAAUAUUAAGAGAAGACCUGAGUCAUUAUUCGUUACUGACUGACUUGAAAUUAAUCUCGAUUCUUGUUUUAAUUACCUCUUGUAUUCAUAUGCAAUUAAUCUGCAUAUCUGGCUUUCAUUACGAUACUGUAAUUGUUAGCGAAAAUUUUAAUGUAUCAGUACAAUUAAGUGAAAAAGAGCUUUGAUUUUAAUAGGAUUUGAUAAGAUACCAAAUCAUAAUGCAGUGUGACAUCCGGCUAGCUAACAUCUGGUACUCAAUAUGAUACUGUAUUGUUAUUCUUAAGGGAAAAUUUGUAAUGUAUCGACAACAUUGUGAAAAAAAAAGGAUAUUGGCAUUACCUUCAUAUAAAACACCUUAGAUUUAACCCGCUCACUGCUGACAACCUCGGAGCUCCCUGCAGGUGCCAAGAGUGACCCGCGUUAGCAGACUAGAGGAAAUAAAACCCAAACAAUACUGAACUUGUAAUUACCAACUCUUUUUCAACCCCCCCCAAUAUAAAAAAAAAAGAUAAAUAAAUAAACAAACAAACUUCGCAGGAUCUUGUAACAAUCCCCAGUUAAAAAAAAUGGAAUAAUAAUAAUAAUAAUAAUAAUAAUAAUAAUAAUAAUAAUAAUAAUAAUAAUAAUAAUAACAAAUAGAUAAAAAAUAAAAAGAAAGAUUAAAACGAAACUAAUCCACUGCUAGUUUAAAGAAGGAGUUAGCCAAUAGAUCUCUCUUCCUUACUAACACACACACACACACACACACACACACACACACACACACACACACACACACACACCUAAGAAGAUAUGACAAAGUAUCAAUUUCCGUAACGCAAAACACCCAGCAAUACACACACACACACACACACACACACACACACACACACACACACUUCCUAAUGGGGGCAAGAAGGCAGUGAGCAGGUAACAGCAAGGCACAAUCACGCAGGAUCUCCAGAGUAAUGUUCACCAGCGUGCUAAACUCCAUUAGGUAAUAAGACAAGGUUAGGUGUUAUGUACAACUGAAUCACAUCUCAAUCACCGCUCAAUUACUAUAAACGAUGGCGAUGCUUGUGGUUAAGAAAAGAGAGAGAGAGAGAGAGAGAGAGAGAGAGAGAGAGAGAGAGAGAGAGAGAGAGAGAGAGAGAGAGAGAGAGAGAGAGAGAGAGAGAGAGAGAGAGAGAGA
Molecule: long non-coding RNA, 4269 nt
Filed under: Portunus trituberculatus (swimming crab)
Lineage: Eukaryota; Metazoa; Arthropoda; Malacostraca; Decapoda; Portunidae
Description: uncharacterized LOC123501331
Source: RNAcentral